Non-coding RNA from Ophiophagus hannah (king cobra), 292 nucleotides. It matches the Rfam family "7SK RNA". From Rfam's summary of the family: 7SK was discovered as an abundant small nuclear RNA in the mid-70s but a possible function has only recently been suggested. Two independent studies have found that 7SK RNA binds the CDK9/cyclin T complex (known as elongation factor P-TEFb). The record is from Rfam. NCBI's taxonomy places the organism in Eukaryota, Metazoa, Chordata, Lepidosauria, Squamata, Elapidae.
GGAUCUGAGGACAAUCUGGCGCCAAACUCUGUUACUUUAUUUUACACCCAGAUUGAAUCAGUUGAUUGGGCUAGCUAGACCAAUAUCUCUUUCCUCCUUCACCACUCUGCAUAUGUCUCUCCCAGAGCUAUCCACUUUGUGAGAGUGGCUACCAUUUCAGUUAGGAAUGUACCAUUUUUAGUGCAACAUAUAACUGCACUCCCCAGUUAAAAGCUGCAAAAAAUUUAACAUAGAAGCGGUUAUGAACUCAACAAUGCUAGAAGUCUUUUCAUAAUAUUGCAUUUUUAUUUAU